Molecule: ribosomal RNA, 892 nt
Filed under: uncultured bacterium
Lineage: Bacteria
Description: bacterial SSU rRNA
Rfam family: Bacterial small subunit ribosomal RNA
Source: RNAcentral
AGAGUUUGAUCCUGGCUCAGGACGAACGCUGGCGGCGUGCUUAACACAUGCAAGUCGAACGAUGAACCACUUCGGUGGGGAUUAAUGGCGAACGGGUGAGUAACACGUGGGCAAUCUGCCCUUCACUCUGGGACAAGCCCUGAAACGGGGUCUAAUACCGGAUACCACUUCCACUCGCAUGGGUGGGGGUUGAAAGCUCCGGCGGUGAAGGAUGAGCCCGCGGCCUAUCAGCUUGUUGGUGAGGUAAUGGCUCACCAAGGCGACGACGGGUAGCCGGCCUGAGAGGGCGACCGGCCACACUGGGACUGAGACACGGCCCAGACUCCUACGGGAGGCAGCAGUGGGGAAUAUUGCAUAAUGGGCGAAAGCCUGAUGCAGCGACGCCGCGUGAGGGAUGACGGCCUUCGGGUUGUAAACCUCUUUCAGCAGGGAAGAAGCGAAAGUGACGGUACCUGCAGAAGAAGCGCCGGCUAACUACGUGCCAGCAGCCGCGGUAAUACGUAGGGCGCAAGCGUUGUCCGGAAUUAUUGGGCGUAAAGAGCUCGUAGGCGGUCUGUCGCGUCGGAUGUGAAAGCCCGGGGCUUAACCCCGGGUCUGCAUUCGAUACGGGCAGACUAGAGUGUGGUAGGGGAGAUCGGAAUUCCUGGUGUAGCGGUGAAAUGCGCAGAUAUCAGGAGGAACACCGGUGGCGAAGGCGGAUCUCUGGGCCAUUACUGACGCUGAGGAGCGAAAGCGUGGGGAGCGAACAGGAUUAGAUACCCUGGUAGUCCACGCCGUAAACGGUGGGAACUAGGUGUUGGCGACAUUCCACGUCGUCGGUGCCGCAGCUAACGCAUUAAGUUCCCCGCCUGGGGAGUACGGCCGCAAGGCUAAAACUCAAAUGAAUUGACGG